RNAcentral lists this ribosomal RNA (339 nucleotides) under uncultured bacterium. RNAcentral describes it as "bacterial SSU rRNA". It matches the Rfam family "Bacterial small subunit ribosomal RNA", at positions 28 to 365 of the family's 1533-position model. The record is from RNAcentral.
GACGAACGCUGGCGGCGUGCCUAAUACAUGCAAGUCGAGCGGACAGAUGGGAGCUUGCUCCCUGAUGUUAGCGGCGGACGGGUGAGUAACACGUGGGUAACCUGCCUGUAAGACUGGGAUAACUCCGGAAACGGGCUAAUACCGGAUGCUUGUUUGAACCGCAUGGUUCAAACAUAAAAGGUGGCUUCGGCUACCGACGUUACAGAUGGACCCGCGGCGCAUUAGCUAGUUGUGAGGUAAUGGCUCACCAAGGCAACGAUGCGUAGCCGACCUGAGAGGUGAUCGGCCACACUGGGACUGAGACACGGCCAGACUCUACGGAGCAGCAGUAGGAAUCUU